GCCACUGAGAGUGAAAGAAAAUUCCCCCUUUGCACAAUGCCUUUCACUUAAAUAGCAUUUGGAUUUCUUAAAAUCCACAAAGUUUAUAUUAGAGCGUCAUCCAUUAAUGCUUUGGCUAGGAGGGGGUCUAUCGCCCUGGUUGGAGUGCAGCAGUGUAAUCAUAGCUCACUGCUGCCAUGAACUUCUGGGCUCAAGCGAUCCUCCCACCUCAGCCUCCCUGUGUGCUGGGAUUAAAAGUGUGAGCCACCGUGCCUCAUCGUAAGGGUCUUAAAAGAAACCCUAUUUCAUACUUUCUUGAUGCACUUGAUAUGGAUUAUAUAAAUCUAUGGACAAAAAUGACAUCAGUACAAUGGAAUAUUGGAGUUUUCUACCAUAAUCUCUGCAUAGUGCACUGAUUUUGACAAUCACCUAUGGAUGAAAAUACAUUUGCCAGAGUCUAGGAGUUAAAUGGAAAAGUUAACAGCACACCGUUGGAGAAAAAUAUCUGGGAGUAGAUGCAUUCAAGGGAGUAAGAAGAACAAUUACCUGCAUCACCUCACCCCCAGGGUCCACUUCUUAGUGCCAAGAUAGACUCCCUUCAGCAGGCAAUUUCUCCCAUGGGGAAAAGGAGAGUAUAAUGAGUGAGUAUCCAGCUUUUCCAGCUGUGUGAGGCACAUCCCAAGAAGCCCAUCUUUCUUUCACUCAACUCAGAAUAUUGAGGGUAUUAGCAUGGCUAAGUGGCUGGGACAGGGCAGUAGCAGGAAAGAAAGGAGAGGACUCACAGCAACCAGGACUUGAAACUCAGUACAGGGUACAUAUCCUUUGAAGCAUUUCACAGAGCCCAUCAGGAGGCCCACCCAUGAACCACUUGGGACACCAUAUCUGUAGCAUCUCCCUGCAACUGGCCCAUAGGAGCCCCCGAUGUUUUGUGCAUAUUCCCCUUCCCUUUCUCCUAUAGUCAGUUGCCUGCACAUGCACUCCAGAUGGUGAGUGUGAGCAUUUACCUACAGCUUUUGAGUACAUGCAGUCAGCAGGCUCAACUUUGAAGGAUUGGGAGGAAUACAAAAUUGAGCAUUUCAGGGCACUGUCCUAGAGGAAACAAACAGAAAGCUUUCAGGACCCAGUUUGGUUUUGUGGAUUUAAGAGAAGACACACAAUCAUCAGAAUUUCUUCUCCACCCAUCCAAGAAGUGUGGAUUGGGUGAAUCCAUAGAAAAGAUCUGAGAGAGCCUCAGAUUCCCUAUAGGCUCACUGUUGAAGAUAUUUCUCUCAAAUCCAGUCAGUAAAGACUAGAGAAAGUGACUCUUUCUUCAAAUGUGAAGACAGCAGUGCAAGACUUUGAGGAACAUGAAAAAUCAAGGACACCUAGUACCACCAAAGGAACAUAAUUUUCUGGUACCCAACCACAAAGAAAUGGAGAUACACAAAUUGUCUGACAAAGAAUUCACAACAAUUGUUUUAAGGAAGUCAGUAAGCUACAAGAGAACACAGAGAACUUAAUGAUAUUAAGAAAGCGACACAUGAACAAAAUAAGAUGUUCAACAAAAAGAUAGAAAUUAUUAAAAACAACCAUGAUUUUCGAGCUGAGAAUACAAUGAAUGAAAUGGAAAACACAAUAGAGUUUCAAUAGCAGACUUGAUCAAGCAGAAGAAAGGGUCUGUCAACUCAAAUACUAGUCAUUUGAAAUUAUUCAGUAAAAGAAAUAAAAAGGAAUGAAAAAUGCUUAUGCGAUUGAUGCAACACCAUGAAGAGUAGUCAUAUAUGCACUAUGGGAGUCUCAGAAAAAGAAAGAGAUAAAGGGGAAGAAAACUAACUUAAAGAACUAGAUCAGUCUCUCCUUAUCUGUAGUUUUGCUUUCCUUGGUUUCAGGUACAGUACAAUGAUAUGUUUUAAGAGACAGACAAUGAAAGAGAACAUGCAAAUAUUGACAUAAUUUUUAUUACAGUAUAUUGUCAUAGUUUUUCUAUUUUGUUAUUAGUUGUUAUUCUCUUACUGUGCCUAAUUUAUACAUUAAACUUUAUCAUA
RNAcentral lists this long non-coding RNA (2003 nucleotides) under Homo sapiens (human). RNAcentral's name for it is "long intergenic non-protein coding RNA 2015". Lineage: Eukaryota; Metazoa; Chordata; Mammalia; Primates; Hominidae. The record is from RNAcentral.